Molecule: long non-coding RNA, 2161 nt
Filed under: Heterocephalus glaber (naked mole-rat)
Lineage: Eukaryota; Metazoa; Chordata; Mammalia; Rodentia; Bathyergidae
Description: lncRNA (ENSHGLG00100050726.1)
Source: RNAcentral
CAGGCUGUGUGCAGCUGAAGCAGGCGAGGCCUGGAGCAGGCGCCCCGGGCAGGUCGCUCCCUGCCCUGCAGUCCCGACCCGAAGGCCAGAGCCAGAGCAGCCUUGGGCGUGGGUGUGGGGCCGCCCUGGGGCGGAUCAGCCCCAGGCCGCGGAAUCCAGCCCUGCCAGGUCGGUCGCAGGUCGGCGCGGGCCCACACAAGGCCCACUUCCUCCCUCCCGCGAGGCAGGCCCUGUUAUUAUCCCUGCAUCAUCAAUGAGGAAACUGAGGCAGAAAGAUGCAGUCACUUGCUCGAGGUCACAUGCCCACCGUGUCAACCAUCACAGCUGAUGUGCAACACAUGCAUCGAGGAGUGGCCGGCACCUCCGGGGUCACGGGUCAAGAUGGUCUAUGAAGAGACAGCCGUUGGCAGAAUGGGCCAGAGAAUCCGGAAACAGCACCGACUGGCCCUGCCUGGGGGAGUUCGGCGUCUCCAAACCCUGGGCCCAGUUCACUGCCACCGAGUGGCUGCACCCCUGGGGGCAGCUACACAGAACCCCUUCCGAGUAUGCCGAGCGAUGUACGUGAGAUUGUUCAUGGUGGCCCCUUCUCUUCUCCUUGCCUGAUGUACUGGGGCCCAUCUCAAUGUCACCCAUCGAUAGAGAACUAGUUCAGGUAACUGAGGCAAUUGCCAAGUGACAAACAGACCCCUCUGUCGUGUGCUUUGAAAAGGGGCGCAAAGGGUGGACAGAAUGAGAUGGUAAAAGACAUCAUCACGCUGCCCAGGAUGCCAUGCAAUUUAAAACAUGAAUUUUCUAUUUCUGGGAUUUCACAUUUAGUAUUUUCAGACCCCAUUUGACCCCGGGUAACUGAAACUAUGGACCACAAAACCACAGAUGGGGGGGCGCAGGGGACUCCUGUACAUUGUUUCAUGAAAGGUAAAGACGCAGCAGGACAGGACGCGGGGCGCACGCCUGCGAUCCAGCACUCGGGAGGCUGAGGCAGCAGGAGCACAAGUUCCAGCCCAACCCAGGCAACAGCAACUUAGUGAGACCCUGUCUUACAAUGAAAGGCGGGGAGGGGCUGGGGACGUGCCUCAGCGUGAAGGACAUGUGUUCAAUCCCCAACACUCUUUACAAAUUUUAAGAAAGCAAACUACUAGCAUUUGUGUACAAAACAGCUGCAGCGACUACGGGAGUACGUUUGCUUCUAGAUUCGUGAGAACCCUGGGUAACCAGAGACAUCAGGGUGCCGUGGACAGGGACUUGAUGGCCAGGGACCGGGUGGGAGGUUUUCUGUGUCCGGAGGUUUGUUCCAGGGCCUCUCCAUACCAAGUCCUUUAAUGAAAUGGCUGUGUAUUUGCCCAUACGCGCACGCAUCCUCCCAUGAGGCGGAGCAACUUUGAGUCAUUUCCAGAUGACUUACAGUGCCUCAGACAAGGCAAGUGCUAAGUACUUGUUACUCAGUAUUGACACAGGAAAGCGACUGGAUGUGCUCAGAACAGACGAAAAAAAUUCGUUCAGGAUUUUCAACCACAGAUGCAGAGCCCAGGAGUGGGACGGCAGCUGUACCACCCUGCAACGCCUUUGGGGUCUUGAAUCACAGCAGCGGACUCUUUUUCUUUUCUUUGAAAAUUUUGUUAUUCUAUGUACUGACCAUUUAAAACACAUUUAAUUUUUAAUUUUAGAACUUUGCAAAUAGCCAGGCACUGUGGCACUUGUCUGUAGUCCCAGCUAUGCAGGAGGCUGAGGCAGGAGGAUAGUGAGUCUGAGGAUAGCCUGGGUGAUUUAGCAAGACACUGUCUCAAAAAUAAAUAGCUGGGGGCAGGAGAUUUAGCUCAGUGGUUCUGACACCUGCCUGGAAAGUACAAGAUCCUGCCUUCAAUUCCCGUACCAAAAAUAAAUAAGCAAACAAAUAAAUAAAUACCUAGGCGUGGUGGUGCGCACCUGUAAUCCCAGCACUCGGGAGGCUGAGGCAGGAGGAUCACUUCUCGUGUGAGACCAGCCUGGGGUAUAUAGUGAGGCUACACUUAUGCUACAUACCAAGUUCAAGACCAGCCUGGACUACACAGCAAGACCCUAUCUCAAAAACUAAUAAGUAAAUAAGGGCUGGGGAUGUAGCUCAAUGCAGGUCCUGGGUUCAACCUCUAGUACUGCAAAAAAUUAAAAUUAAAAAAGAAAAGGC